Molecule: long non-coding RNA, 793 nt
Organism: Camelina sativa (false flax)
Lineage: Eukaryota; Viridiplantae; Streptophyta; Magnoliopsida; Brassicales; Brassicaceae
Source: RefSeq, a predicted model, not a curated record
AAUGCUCUCUGCUCUCAUCGUCUUCUUCCUUUAAGAGGCGUUUGUUUAAUCACUUCCGACGAAAUCAAGGUCAAGAGAAAAAUCAAUUAAUCACUUGCGAGGAGAGAUCCACAGUCUGUAGAUAAGUUCUCUUCACUUAUUAUAUAUGAGUUUCUAGAUCUUUCUUUGCCUUUCUGAUUUUCCCGUUUUAGGGUUUUCAAUUUCGAUUGUAUUGACUUUGUUUUGUUUUGUUUUUUUCAUCCUUCAGUGACGAUCAAUCACUUCCCCAGUUCCCAAGAAAUCGCCAUCUCUAGUCGGGAUAAAUCGGAGGAUGAAGUCGAUCGAGCCUUUGCCUGAGGGUGUUCAUCACUCCAAGCGUUCUGGAAUUAUCAUGUUUGAGAUGAAGAGGGUCAUUGGAGGAACUCGUGUUCAACAGUCUAGAUAAUGGUUUCUUUCUUCGUGGGUGUUGUUUCGUGCUCUAUAAAGGUUGUUGAUGAUGGAUCAGGCGUUUCCAGAGAUGCUUUGGUUUUGUUGGGAAAAAGAUACAGUAAGUUGUGGCGAUCUUUUAUGUUUGAUGCACUGAUAAAGACCACUUCUUAGUCUUCGAUUGAGAACAGCUACUUCGAAGUUUGGAUUCCGUGGAGAGGUGUUAGCGUUAGCUUCAAUAUCAGAUAUCUCGAUACUGGAAAUCAGGACAAAACCUAUUGCGAAGCCUAAUGGUUAUCGAAAGGUUAUGAAGGUAUGGGAUGACUUUGAUGCUACUCAAUACUCAUACAUAGUUUGUGUUAGCGUUAGGUUAUAAUUAUGGUUUUAA